AUGAACGCUGGCGGCGUGCCUAAUACAUGCAAGUCGAACGCAUAGCGAAAGGUGCUUGCACCUUUCAAGUGAGUGGCGAACGGGUGAGUAACACGUGGACAACCUGCCUCAAGGCUGGGGAUAACAUUUGGAAACAGAUGCUAAUACCGAAUAAAACUUAGUGUCGUAGGACACAAAGUUAAAAGGCGCUUCGGCGUCACCUAGAGAUGGAUCCGCGGUGCAUUAGUGAGUUGGUGGGGUAAAGGCCUACCAAGACAAUGAUGCAUAGCCGAGUUGAGAGACUGAUCGGCCACAUUGGGACUGAGACACGGCCCAAACUCCUACGGGAGGCUGCAGUAGGGAAUCUUCCACAAUGGGCGAAAGCCUGAUGGAGCAACGCCGCGUGUGUGAUGAAGGCUUUCGGGUCGUAAAGCACUGUUGUAUGGGAAGAACAGCUAGAAUAGGAAAUGAUUUUAGUUUGACGGUACCAUACCAGAAAGGGACGGCUAAAUACGUG
Molecule: ribosomal RNA, 496 nt
Filed under: uncultured bacterium
Lineage: Bacteria
Description: partial 16S ribosomal RNA
Rfam family: Bacterial small subunit ribosomal RNA
Source: RNAcentral